Molecule: ribosomal RNA, 408 nt
Filed under: uncultured bacterium
Lineage: Bacteria
Description: partial 16S ribosomal RNA
Rfam family: Bacterial small subunit ribosomal RNA
Source: RNAcentral
GACGAACGCUGGCGGCGUGCUUAACACAUGCAAGUCGAACGAAGUGGCGAACGGGUGAGUAACGCGUAAUCAACCUGCCCUUCAGAGGGGGACAACAGUUGGAAACGACUGCUAAUACCGCAUACUGAAGGAGGGGAUUGCGUCUGAUUAGCGAGUUGGCUGGGUAACGGCCCACCAAGGCGAUGAUCAGUAGCCGUGCUUAGAGGAUGAACGGCCACAUGGGGAUUGUGACACGGCCCAGACUCCUAGGGGAGGUAGCAGUGGGGAACAUUCCGCAAUGGACGAAAGGCUGACGGAGCAACGCCGCGGGAGGGAAGCAGGUUUUCGGAUCGUAAAACUCUGUUGUUAGAGAAGCGGUAUCUAACCAGAAAGCCACGGCUAACUACGUGCCAGCAGCCGCGGUAAUUC